Molecule: ribosomal RNA, 1524 nt
Filed under: metagenome
Description: bacterial SSU rRNA
Rfam family: Bacterial small subunit ribosomal RNA
Source: RNAcentral
AGAGUUUGAUUCUGGCUCAGAACGAACGCUGGCAGCGUGGAUUAGGCAUGCAAGUCGAACGGGAAGCCGCUGAUCAAUCUUUCGAGAAAGUGAAGCGGCGGAGAGUGGCGAAAGGGUGAGUAACGCGUGGGUAACCUACCUCAAAGCUGGGGAUAACCUCUCGAAAGGGGGGCUAAUACCGAAUGUGGUGGGGCUGCGCAUGCAGCCUCUACUAAAGGCGGGGAUCCUUCGGGACCUGUCGUUUUGAGAGGGGCCCGCGUACCAUCAGCUUGUUGGUGAGGUAACGGCUCACCAAGGCUUACGGUUAGCUGGUCUGAGAGGAUGGUCAGCCACACUGGGACUGAGACACUGCCCAGACUCCUACGGGAGGCUGCAGUCGAGGAUCAUUCGCAAUGCGCGAAAGCGUGACGAUGCGACGCUGCGUGGAGGAUGAGGGCCUUCGGGUCGUAAACUCCUGUCAAUCGGGAAGAACAGUCCAGCCGUAAAUAGCGGCGGGAUUUGACGGUACCGGUAGAGGAAGCCACGGCUAACUCUGUGCCAGCAGCCGCGGUAAUACAGAGGUGGCGAGCGUUGUUCGGAUUUACUGGGCGUAAAGCGUGCGUAGGCGGCUUGGUAUGUCAGAUGUGAAAGCCCACGGCUCAACCGUGGAAAGUCAUCUGAAACUACCAGGCUUGAGUGCAGGAGGGGAGAGCGGAAUUCUUGGUGUAGCGGUGAAAUGCGUUGAUAUCAAGAAGAACACCGGUGGCGAAGGCGGCUCUCUGGAAUGUUACUGACGCUGAGGCACGAAAGCGUGGGGAGCAAACAGGAUUAGAUACCCUGGUAGUCCACGCCGUAAACGGUGCGCACUUGGUGUUGGGGGUAUUGACCCCCCCAGUGCCGGAGCUAACGCGUUAAGUGCGCCGCCUGGGGAGUACGGUCGCAAGAUUAAAACUCAAAGAAAUUACGGGGGCCCGCACAAGCGGAGGAGCAUGUGGCUUAAUUCGAUGCAACGCGAAGAACCUUACCAGGGCUUGACAUGGGGACCCUUCGGGGGUGGUAGCGAAAGUUACCUUUACCAUCACAGGUGCUGCAUGGCUGUCGUCAGUUCGUGCCGUGAGGUGUUGGGUUAAGUCCCGCAACGAACGCAACCCCUGUGGUUAGUUGCCACCGGCGGUGAUGAGCCGCCGAGCACUCUAGCCAGACUGCCCGUACAAGCGGGAGGAAGGUGGGGACGACGUCAAGUCAGUAUGGCCCUUACGCCCUGGGCUGCACACGUGCUACAAUGGUCGGUACAGAGGGAUGCAAUACCGCGAGGUGGAGCAAAUCUAGAAAACCGGCCUCAGUUCGGAUUGGAGUCUGAAACUCGACUCCAUGAAGUUGGAUUCGCUAGUAACGGCGUAUCAGCUACGACGCCGUGAAUACGUUCCCGGGCCUUGCACACACCGCCCGUCACAUCAUGAAAGCCGUCUGCACCCGUAGUCGCUGAGCCAACCCCUCACGGGGAGGCAGGUGCCGAAGGUGUGGGUGGUGAUUGGGAUGAAGUCU